This 490-nucleotide ribosomal RNA is filed under the name uncultured bacterium. Its description in RNAcentral is "partial 16S ribosomal RNA". It matches the Rfam family "Bacterial small subunit ribosomal RNA", at positions 30 to 507 of the family's 1533-position model. The record is from RNAcentral.
AUUGAACGCUGGCGGCAGGCCUAACACAUGCAAGUCGAACGGUAACAGGAAGAAGCUUGCUUCUUUGCUGACGAGUGGCGGACGGGUGAGUAAUGUCUGGGAAACUGCCUGAUGGAGGGGGAUAACUACUGGAAACGGUAGCUAAUACCGCAUAACGUCGCAAGCCCAAAGAGGGGGACCUUCGGGCCUCUUGCCAUCUGAUGUGCCCAGAUGGGAUUAGCUAGUAGGUGGGGUAACGGCUCACCUAGGCGACGAUCCCUAGCUGGUCUGAGAGGAUGACCAGCCACACUGGAACUGAGACACGGUCCAGACUCCUACGGGAGGAAGCAGUGGGGAAUAUUGGACAAUGGGCGCAAGCCUGAUGCAGCCAUGCCGCGUGGAUGAAGAAGGCCUUCGGGUUGUAAAGUACUUUCAGCGGGGAGGAAGGGAGUAAAGUUAAUACCUUUGCUCAUUGACGUUACCCGCAGAAGAAGCACCGGCUAACUCCGUG